This 280-nucleotide unclassified non-coding RNA is filed under the name Hevea brasiliensis (rubber tree). The record is from RNAcentral. Lineage: Eukaryota; Viridiplantae; Streptophyta; Magnoliopsida; Malpighiales; Euphorbiaceae.
CCCGCCGCGCGCAGAUAGUGCAGCGUGCCGGCAUAGACGCCCGCCUGAAUCGCGGUCGGACGCUUUUCGCCGCCAACCGCCGCAGUGAAGCGGUCGGAGAACUUGCGCGUGCCGUCGUUAGAGUCCCAAUAGAAGCCUUCGGUCAGAUAGANNNNCCUUGGCGCCCUGAAGUCCGAUGGCAUUGACGUCGGUGACCUGCAUCAGCAGCGCCGCCAGUUCUUGCCCGCCGGCCUGAAUGCCAAACUCGGUCGCCUGCUUCACGGAAUUGACGGUGUCGUUC